UGUAUGUAAUUUAAAAAAAAUAUCAAGCUGUGACCCUGACAAUGGGAAUUUCCUCAAAUAG
This 61-nucleotide transfer RNA is filed under the name Rhadinaea decorata. RNAcentral's name for it is "tRNA-His". The record is from RNAcentral. Lineage: Eukaryota; Metazoa; Chordata; Lepidosauria; Squamata; Dipsadidae.